CGGUGUUUCUGUCGGGUUCAGAAUAAACCCGUAUGCCAGGAAACAGGAAAUUGGCCUUUCUCUUUCGGAUCGAGUUCUUGUCGGAUUCAAACCAAACCCGCACCGUUAAAUAUCGUGUUCAAGGUGUACUCGAUCUUUCGAGCAGCGCCGGCGAAGCAGCAAGCCAAGAAACGAGGGCCUCCCCAAGGUGUGAUAAAGAAGAUAUCUCUCGCUCACGUUUUGUCCUUUGUUUGGAGGUGCUAUCGAUCUAGGAUUAGGGGUUCAACUCGAGGGAUCUCACUUGGGUUCCUGCCCCGAUUCGCCGUCCCAUUAGGGUUCGACUUCGACCCCCACCUCGUGUUGGGCGGAACUUAGGUUCCUUCGGCUCGAUCGUGGCUUGCUUCUCACGCUAAGAACGCUUAGGAUUGGGCCGAAGAGCAAUUAAGGUCAAUGUGCAUGGGUGUCCACAUUCUAUUUCGAGGCUACAUUGGAGGAGCACAGAGCCUACAACACAACUCUGGUAUGAGUCAUUUUCCAGGAGGAUUAGAUUCUUUCCAGCCUGGUGAAGAACAUCAAUAUAUGCCUUCUAAAGAAGAGGGACAAUGGCAGUGGAAUAGAAAUGACCCAAAGGGAUCAAAUCAUCUAUCUCAACUGUAUAAAGAAGGCCAAUAAAGACCCAAGAGCACUAGCUUAUGAGGAUUAGCUGGAGGCCAGAUUUGAGGAUAGCACUCUUCCUCAAACUUUUGAAGGUCUUGAACAAAAAUUUCUUUAUGAUAUUAUGAACUUGACCAAGGAGCAGCAGGAAGCAGAGGACAGAGAGAAUGCUAGACAUCGAGAGUAUCCUGGUGGUCGUGGCUUUGGUUCUCAUGAUCAUUAUCCUGGUGGUCGAGCUUAUAACUCCAGAGGCCGACAUUUUUGAGCAAAGUUGCAAAAAUGUUUCUCCUCAUCCUUUGGCCUGUCAUCACUGCUUGACAACAUUAUUCUGAAGACUCGUAUGUCAGUAGUAUUGAUGAAGCACAAAUAGCGUUUCUCUAAGCGGCAACUGUUCUGCUGAAUGCCGAUCAUGUCUGGAUAUGGGUGUGUAGCAGUGUAGUGGAUAAUCUUCAAAAUUUUCUUAGUGUAUUUCACUGUGAAUUACUUCAAUAUCAUCACCUCGAUCAAUAUAUUUGUUCUGAACAUGGUGGCAACAGAGCUCUAGACCUCCUCAUCAUAAUUCUGGGCAGGCUUAGCUUCAGUUUGAGAUUUUCUCGAAUGAUCAUCAGGCAGUGUUUCUUUCACAGGUGUUAAAUGCAACAGACCUUAUGAUUUUUUUUUGGGUUUAUAUUAUUAAUUUGAAUAUGUGAGCUUCCAGUUCAUCUGCUUGGGUUAUUAUCUAUUUAUCUUUAUUUAUCCUGUUACUUUUUGCCUUUUGACAAUCAUAUUUUUUUUGACUCAGGACAGUCGUGAGCAUGCUGGUUGAUCUUAAUAUAUCAGCACUCAACCUUCGUCAAGGCAAAAUUUCAUAUACGCCAGUGAAAGACCAGUCUUCUAUUUGCGCUUUCAAGAGUGUAAUUAUCAAAUUUGUCCCUCAUGGAGCUAUAAAUUCUUUUGUCACUGGUAUAUUCAUGGUGGAUGCCUUUGAACUCAGUGUGCUACCAUCAACCAUAUCUACCCCUAAAAUAAGGUACAUGUGAUAUUUUAUAUAUGUUGGAAUAUUAUAUUUACUCUUUCUGGUAUGCUGCAUGAUGACUCAUAAUUUCAUCGAAGCCCUUGCCAAGUAUUUUUUAUCAUAUGUGCCCUUUGUAACAUAAUAAAAUGUUCAUAAAUGACAUUUUCCAUGGGUACUGAUGAUAUUUAUAGAAUUUAAGAAUGUCCUCAUCAAGUGUCACAGCUGUUACAUUUUUGAAAAUUUUACAUGUGGACAUUUUCAUAUUUUGAAGAGGAUAUGAUAUUUACUCUUUCUGUAUAUGCUGCAUGAUGCUUAUAAUUUCACCAAAGCCCCUGCCAAGUAAUUUGUUUCAUAUAUGCCCCUUGGAACAUCAGAAAAUGCUCAUAAAUUACAUUUUUCAGGGAUAGAAUGUCUGCUUCAAGUGUUACAUAUUUGAAAAUUCUACAUGUGAUAUUUUUCAUAUUUUGAUGGGAAUAUGAUAUUUACUCUAUGCAUACGCUGCAUGAUGAACCCCACCCUGCCAAGUAAUAUUUUAUCUUCAUAUAUGCCCCUUGAUACAUCAUAGAUUUUUGGAAUGAUUGUUGAGUUUUAGAACGUCCUCUUCAAGUGUAACAAAAUUUAUGUACUGGUUUUUCUUUUCCAUUUAAGUAGCUAAGAUUUCUCCAAUAGAUUAAAGAUCUGGGAACCAAGUUUUCCACAUUGAUCACAGUAUCAAGUUGGUCAUUCAGUGGUGGUUAUGCUCACUGCACUAGUUAGGUAAUCCUUGAUUCGAUUGAAGAGGUCUGCAUGUUUGCUUGAUUUUUGUUGUCAUAUUCUGUAUAUGU
Molecule: long non-coding RNA, 2451 nt
Organism: Musa acuminata AAA Group (dessert banana)
Lineage: Eukaryota; Viridiplantae; Streptophyta; Magnoliopsida; Zingiberales; Musaceae
Exons: 4
Source: RefSeq, a predicted model, not a curated record